UACGUCUCACGUAACUGGCGAAAAGCUGGAGUGAUUUUCAAAAAUGCCCCACAAUGGUGCGUUUUGGUCAGUCGGCGAAAGGUGGGCAUCCACCGGGAAACGUGAGAUUUCAAUAGCCGUUCGCCUGGGCAGCCCUC
Molecule: non-coding RNA, 137 nt
Filed under: Duganella sacchari
Lineage: Bacteria; Pseudomonadati; Pseudomonadota; Betaproteobacteria; Burkholderiales; Oxalobacteraceae
Description: ZTP sequence
Rfam family: ZMP/ZTP riboswitch aptamer (pfl RNA motif)
About the family: Previously known as pfl RNA. ZMP is also known as AICAR.
Source: RNAcentral